This 738-nucleotide ribosomal RNA is filed under the name Nudora sp. I39. RNAcentral describes it as "eukaryotic LSU rRNA". It matches the Rfam family "Eukaryotic large subunit ribosomal RNA", at positions 359 to 945 of the family's 3401-position model. Lineage: Eukaryota; Metazoa; Nematoda; Chromadorea; Desmodorida; Monoposthiidae. The record is from RNAcentral.
GGAAGUUGCAAAGAACUUUGAAGAGAGAGUUCAAGAGGGCGUGAAACCGUUUGGAAGCAAACAGGUGGAGCCAAAGGCAGUUGGUCAGGUUCAGCUGUGUGCUGGGUGGCUGAUGUUGUGUGCGCAACUCGUAAGGGUGUGUCGCAGCGUCAGUGCCUGGUGUGCGGUGGUCUCCUGGCCAGCAGACACUGGCGCCCAUUGGCUGUGUGACAGAAAGCAUGUGUAUUGCCAGCAGUGGCCGGUCAAAUGGCUGCUGAAGAGAAUGCGCAUGUGGUGUCGGCAUGGCUGCUGGGUUGUGGCGUACGCGCAGAGCGUGUAAACUGUCAGGGUGCGUUGGCAGCUGGUGGGUGCCUGCUUGCAGGAGCCUGCUGCUGUCGGUGUAGACUGGCGGUGGAUCACGGCCGUACAGCUGGUGAUUUUUGGCCACCCACCUGACCCGUCUUGAAACACGGACCAAGGAGUCUAAUAUGUGUGCGAGUCAUUGGGUGGCAAACCCACAGGCGUAAUGAAAGUGAAACACGUUAUCUGCGGAGCAAUCUGCAGCGCAACGUGAUCCCAUUUCAACUGCUUUUGACAGUGGAGUGGCGAUAGAGCACACAUGUUAGGACCCGAAAGAUGGUGAACUAUGCCUGAGCAGGAUGAAGUCAGAGGAAACUCUGAUGGAGGUCCGUAGCGGUUCUGACGUGCAAAUCGAUCGUCUGACUUGGGUAUAGGGGCGAAAGACUAAUCGAACCAUCU